GCCACGGCCAUACCAGCCUGGGUACGCCCGAUCUUGUCUGAUCUCGGAAGCUAAGCAGGGUCGGGCCUGGUUAGUACUUGAUGGGAGACCGCCUGGGAAUACCAGGUGCUGUAAGCA
RNAcentral lists this ribosomal RNA (117 nucleotides) under Salmo salar (Atlantic salmon). The record is from RNAcentral. Lineage: Eukaryota; Metazoa; Chordata; Actinopteri; Salmoniformes; Salmonidae.